This 1277-nucleotide small RNA is filed under the name Arabidopsis thaliana (thale cress). RNAcentral describes it as "ATSL225890". The record is from RNAcentral. Lineage: Eukaryota; Viridiplantae; Streptophyta; Magnoliopsida; Brassicales; Brassicaceae.
ACAAUCGCUUGUUACUAUAAUAAAAGAUCGAUGAAACAAGAUUCUAAUGUUAAGCAUUUUGAAAUGUUACGAAACCGUACAAACAAUUUAUGUGAUUAACGUCAAAUGCAUAAAAACGCAAACACAAAAAAUAGCAGUUAAAUCUUAUAAAGAUAUUUCAUAAAAUAUUACACACUCAUGAAAGGUCUUAAAAGCUUAAUUAGUUCUCAUUAUCAAAGAAAAAAAUAAAAGCUUAAUUAGUUCUUACCGAAAAAAACAAAGCUUAAUGUUGAUGAGUGAACGAGUCUUUCCACGUCGUCCACACUGUCCUCGUCGUCCUCGUUGUCUACGUCGUCUUCGUGGUCCAGGUCGUCGUAAUUGGAAGUGGCGAGAGAAAAUCCGAUUUGGCGGUGCCCAAAAUCAAAUAUCGUAUGAUAUCUCUGAGUAAAGGCAUUCCAAGAAUAUUGUAAACAAAUUAAUAUAUAAAUUUAAUUGAUAAGUAAUUUACGAAACAAAACGUACUUAAUGUGACGAAAUGGAGAGAUAGUCCUCCGAAGUGAAAUAAAAAGCACAUCGGGCAAAUAAUUUGCUACCGCUGCUGCCACUUUGGCAUUUGUAAAUAUCAUCCUUUCCAUAUGACUAGAAAAUAGAAAACGAAAAGAGAAAGUAUUAAGUUAACAUAAAACAACAAAUAAUAAUAAAAUGUUGUAAAUAAAACUUACACGUCUACCACAAAUUUGAGAGUAAUCUCUCGGGUAAUGAGAUAGAAAAAUAAAUAUAAAUGAUAAAUUGCAUUAGUAAAUAGUAUUUGAUACAAAAUAAAAUUUAAACAUUAAAUCCUUUACUAACCGGGGGACCGUAUAUAUACGGACAGCUCAUAUGAAUUAAAGUUUUAUGGGUGAGUGAUCCUAAAAAGAAAAAGAAGAUGUAAAGUUUAUGUACUGAAAACACACAUAUAUAGAUAGACUCAUUAUUGUAAUUAAUUAUUACAUGAUAUCCGUUGACUUGGAUGGAAUGCAUCCUAAUGAUUCAUCUAUUACCUUCAAUGAGGUUGAAGUAUAUAUGCUCAACGACAAAAUGAAUCUGAUCAACAUCCCGAACGAUUGUUUCUCCUCCCAAAUUAUAGCUGUCACCAUAAUGAACUUAUUCAUAGUAAUUCUGUAGCCACACCGACAAUAUAUUUCGAUGUAAAAAUCUUUGAUCCAUCAUAUUUGUCCUAAAAUUAUUUCUAAUUUAUUUCUUAUUUUUAUUUGUUAUCUAAAUAUACCUAAUCUCAUAGCUCUAUUAAUAUUUUGACG